Molecule: ribosomal RNA, 253 nt
Filed under: uncultured bacterium
Lineage: Bacteria
Description: partial 16S ribosomal RNA
Rfam family: Bacterial small subunit ribosomal RNA
Source: RNAcentral
UACAGAGGUCCCGAGCGUUGUUCGGAUUCACUGGGCGUAAAGGGUGCGUAGGUGGUUGGGUAAGUCUGAUGUGAAAUCUCCGGGCUCAACCCGGAAAUGGCAUUGGAUACUAUUCGGCUAGAGGUUUGGAGGGGGGACUGGAAUUCUCGGUGUAGCAGUGAAAUGCGUAGAUAUCGAGAGGAACACCAGUGGCGAAAGCGGCUUCCUGGUCCAGCACCGACGUUCAGGCACGAAAGCGUGGGGAGCAAACAGG